AGUGAACGCUGGCGGUAGGCCUAACACAUGCCAGUCGAACGGCAGCACAGUAAGAGCUUGCUCUUACGGGUGGCGAGUGGCGGACGGGUGAGGAAUACAUCGGAAUCUACUUUUUCGUGGGGGAUAACGUAGGGAAACUUACGCUAAUACCGCAUACGACCUACGGGUGAAAGCAGGGGAUCUUCGGACCUUGCGCGAUUGAAUGAGCCGAUGUCGGAUUAGCUAGUUGGCGGGGUAAAGGCCCACCAAGGCGACGAUCCGUAGCUGGUCUGAGAGGAUGAUCAGCCACACUGGAACUGAGACACGGUCCAGACUCCUACGGGAGGCAGCAGUGGGGAAUAUUGGACAAUGGGCGCAAGCCUGAUCCAGCCAUACCGCGUGGGUGAAGAAGGCCCUCGGGUUGUAAAGCCCUUUUGUUGGGAAAGAAAAGCAGCAGGUUAAUACCCCGCUGUUCUGACGGUACCCAAAGAAUAAGCACCGGCUAACUUCGUG
This 492-nucleotide ribosomal RNA is filed under the name uncultured bacterium. RNAcentral's name for it is "partial 16S ribosomal RNA". It matches the Rfam family "Bacterial small subunit ribosomal RNA", at positions 29 to 507 of the family's 1533-position model. The record is from RNAcentral.